CCUACGGGUGGCAGCAGUGGGGGAUAUUGGACAAUGGGGGAAACCCUGAUCCAGCGACGCCGCGUGAGUGAAGAAGUAUUUCGGUAUGUAAAGCUCUAUCAGCAGGGAAGAAAGAAAUGACGGUACCUGAGUAAGAAGCCCCGGCUAACUACGUGCCAGCAGCCGCGGUAAUACGUAGGUGGCAAGCGUUAUCCGGAAUGACUGGGCGUAAAGGGUGCGUAGGUGGUUUAGUAAGUUGGCGGUGUAAUUCCGGGGCUCAACCUCGGCGCUACCGCCAAAACUAUUAGACUAGAGUGCAGGAGGGGUAAGUGGAAUUCCUAGUGUAGCGGUGGAAGGCGUAGAGAUUAGGAGGAACAUCAGGGGCGAAGGCGACUUACUGGACUGUAACUGACACUGAGGCACGAAAGCGUGGGGAGCAAACAGGAUUAGAUACCCUGGUAGUC
This 443-nucleotide ribosomal RNA is filed under the name uncultured bacterium. RNAcentral's name for it is "partial 16S ribosomal RNA". It matches the Rfam family "Bacterial small subunit ribosomal RNA", at positions 338 to 795 of the family's 1533-position model. The record is from RNAcentral.